CACUGCUAUCGGGGUUCGAUUAAGCCAUGCGAGUCGAGAGGGUUCAGACCCUCGGCGCACUGCUCAGUAACACGUGGAUAACCUACCCUGAGGAGGGGGAUAACCCCGGGAAACUGGGGAUAAUACCUCAUAGGUUUCAGAUGCUGGAAUGCUCUGAAACCGAAAUGCUCCGGCGCCUCAGGAUGGAUCUGCGGCCGAUUAGGUUGUUGUUGGGGUAACGGCCCAACAAGCCCGUCAUCGGUACGGGUUGUGAGAGCAAGAGCCCGGAGAUGGAUUCUGAGACACCAAUCCAGGCCCUACGGGGCGCAGCAGGCGCGAAACCUUUACAAUGCGAGCAAUCGUGAUAAGGGAACCCCGAGUGCCUGAAACCAGGCUGUUCAGGUGUUUAAAAAGCACCUGGAGAAAGGGCCGGGCAAGACCGGUGCCAGCCGCCGCGGUAAUACCGGCGGCUCGAGUGGUGGCCGCUAUUAUUGGGCUUAAAGCGUUCGUAGCUGGGUUGUUAAGUCUCUUGGGAAAUCUCACGGCUCAACCGUGAGGCGACUAAGAGAUACUGGCAAUCUUGGGACCGGGAGAGGUGAGAGGUACUCCAGGGGUAGGAGUGAAAUCCUGUAAUCCUUGGGGGACCACCGGUGGCG
RNAcentral lists this ribosomal RNA (635 nucleotides) under uncultured archaeon. RNAcentral's name for it is "bacterial SSU rRNA". It matches the Rfam family "Archaeal small subunit ribosomal RNA", at positions 25 to 668 of the family's 1478-position model. The record is from RNAcentral.